GGCAAAUUAAAGCUGUGGGUUGACUGACUGCUAGACGUCCCAGAGGAUCCAGUCGAUGCACCAAAAUACCUUCCGAGGGGACGUAAAAACACUAUCGCAACAGUUACGAACGAAGAAAAGAGAUAACGAUAACUGGGUGCCAAGAAGACCACUCCUCCUCUUUUCCAAGAGGACUAGGAGUACUCCGUCUUAGGAACCACUGCUGUUGCAGGCAGUCGUCUGCAGAGGUUACUGUAUGAAGCUUUUAAGGCCUUUUUGGCGGCACCGCUGAAAAGAGAUGGCACGAGCCAGGCAACCACAGACCCUUGUUCUUGAUUCGUUGCAGACUUUCUAUGUUGCGUCACCACCCCUGAAUAAAGCCUCAACGACACAUGACAGAAAGGUUACUGUCGGAGCUUCAGCUACUAAAGUGGAAGUGUUCUGCCACAACCCCAGAAGUCACUGGACUGCACCCUCACACAACUUGUCCCUCCAGCACUUUGUGUUCCUCAUUGCAGCUUAAAACAGCUGAUUAAACCUUUCUGUCUGACUGCUCGAUGUGGAGGCAGGAGAAAUCCUCUUAAACAGGCGAAGAAAGUCUCUUUAAAAACAAUGAUACGUUUAGGCUUAUCUUAUCUGUUCUGAUCUCAUCUCAUCUCAUCUCAUCGGAUCUCAUCUGAUCUCAUCUCAUCUGAUCUCAUCUCAUCUCAUCUCUUCUUAUCUUUGGUUGUAUGCUUCUGACAAGGUCUAAUUAUUUUCAUUUUAAAUGGACAGUGAGUUUAGAAAUGGUAUCCCUAAUCUUAGGCCUAUAGUUAGAUUUUUUUUGCUUAACUUGUUGUUGUGGGAGACAUUGGAUAUUAGGGCAUAUAAUAUCCACUGUAAUGUAACAAAAUGUGGAUAAAGGGAAGGGGUCUGAAUACUUUCCCGAAUGCACUGUAAAUCAGGCUAAAAUAGUUUGUUGUUUGUCUGUGUUUACUUGUUGAUGUCACAGUGACUGCUGAUGGAGAGCAGACCUGACUCCGGCCACGCGGACACAUUGUCGUAGUUCUAAAUCAACAUCAGGUCACAUGCAUUCAGCAUGAUGCUACUGAGGUUUAAUAAUAGCCCUGGUUCUAAUGUAGAGGUCAGAUACACACUGCUCCUGUCCUGUUUGCAAAGUGUCUUCAUUCUCCACCUUAGUCUAUUAUAGUUAUCAUCCUAUACUGAACAAAAUUAUAAACGCAACAUGUAAAGUGUUGAAAUUAAAGAUCCAAGAUUAAAUAUUCCAUAUGCACAAAAAGCUUAUUUCUCUCAAAUUUUGAGCACAAAUGUGUUUACA
Molecule: long non-coding RNA, 1297 nt
Organism: Oncorhynchus tshawytscha (Chinook salmon)
Lineage: Eukaryota; Metazoa; Chordata; Actinopteri; Salmoniformes; Salmonidae
Source: Ensembl